Molecule: long non-coding RNA, 711 nt
Organism: Panicum hallii
Lineage: Eukaryota; Viridiplantae; Streptophyta; Magnoliopsida; Poales; Poaceae
Exons: 3
Source: RefSeq, a predicted model, not a curated record
UCCGAUCGUGAUCGGGGUGGGCGGAGCGAGUCUGCACUCUGCAGCCACAGUACGAACUUCCCGGCACAGAAACAGAAACAGCUCGAGAGAUGGCGGGCUAGGAUGGCGGGGCGGCCGCUCCCUGCUCGCGGAGGGACGCGCGCAUUGACCAGGCCGUGCUGUUGUCUAAGCGACGCGCUGCGGGCGGCGCACGGGAGGAUGCGGCUCGGGAGCAGCUAGGGUUCCGCGACUACCAGGUCGCUCUCUAGGUGAUGUCAUGGAGCAAGAGAGUCCUAUUCUUACCAAUGGAAUGAUACAGCUCUUCAUGGUUUCCGUUACAUCGACUUCGUCUUGUAGCAUCACUGGAUCAAUGAUCUCAUGAGUCUUCUUUGGAAAUGCUCUAUCCACGAAGCUAUGCAGGAUUUGUUACAGGUGGUCGCGAACCUCGUGGGAAUAAACACCCGAUUCAUAAUUAAAUUCUGACUCGGAGAUCAUACACAAAUGUGGCCAUGGAGAAGCAAUUAUUGGAUCGUCUAUGCGCAGCGAAGCACUUCUUUUCUAAGCAUUUUCUUGCUUAUUAUUAAAAACAUUUUGUCCUUUGCCUGUAUGUGUGGUGAUCUUGUUUACGCGUCAAUAUAAUGAUCGUGUCACGUGUGCAAUGUUUUUUGCCACUCUUAAAUGUAAGCACACUUGUUUACCACUUGUCUUCGUUUUUUUCUCCAUGAUAGAAGA